GUGUCAGCAGCCGCGGUAAUACGUAGGGGGCGAGCGUUGUCCGGAAUUAUUGGGCGUAAAGGGUACGCAGGCGGCCAUGUAAGUCAGAUGUGAAAGAUCACGGCUCAACCGUGGUAAGCAUUUGAAACUGCUUGGCUUGAGUUAAGGAGAGGAAAGUGGAAUUCCUAGUGUAGCGGUGAAAUGCGUAGAUAUUAGGAAGAAUAUCAGUGGCGAAGGCGACUUUCUGGACUUAUACUGACGCUGAGGUACGAAAGCGUGGGGAGCAAACAGGAUUAGAUACCCUGGUAGUCCACGCUGUAAACGAUGAGUGCUAGGUGUCGGGGGUCAUACCUCGGUGCCGGAGUUAACACAUUAAGCACUCCGCCUGGGGAGUACGUGCGCAAGCAUGAA
Molecule: ribosomal RNA, 390 nt
Filed under: uncultured bacterium
Lineage: Bacteria
Description: bacterial SSU rRNA
Rfam family: Bacterial small subunit ribosomal RNA
Source: RNAcentral